GUUAAAUUAAAGGUGUAUACACAUUCCAACGUUGUAUCUACGCACCAUCUGCAAUAUCUUUACACUCAAGUAUUAUGUUCAUAAAUUUAUCACUCUUUCACCAAUAUUUAAUACCACCUAUGCCAAGUAUUCCUGUUCACUAUAUUCAAAUGUGUUCCAUAAACCUGUUUUUUCUCUGGUAAGAGAGCCUAUACUUUCAUGGAAUUCUCUCUGUUUCCUUUUAGUGUGAAGACCCUUCUACGGUUCUUACAAAGUGGAGUAUGCAACUCAGUCUUUGGUUUACAGAGUUGACCAAACACAGGACCUUCAGUUCGUCCUUUGUUCAGGGAGUUAUACUGUUUACAUGGUUGAUCUCAGCUACAGCAAGAACGAGGAAUUGGGAGGUGCUUGAUGAUACUAUAUGAU
Molecule: non-coding RNA, 405 nt
Organism: Pelobates cultripes (western spadefoot toad)
Lineage: Eukaryota; Metazoa; Chordata; Amphibia; Anura; Pelobatidae
Source: the annotation of a GenBank genome assembly